UAGGGAAUCUUCGGCAAUGGGGGGAACCCUGACCGAGCAACGCCGCGUGAGUGAAGAAGGUUUUCGGAUCGUAAAGCUCUGUUGUUAAGGAAGAACGUGUGUGAGAGCGGAAAGUUCACACAGUGACGGUACUUAACCAGAAAGGGACGGCUAACUACGUGCCAGCAGCCGCGGUAAUACGUAGGUCCCGAGCGUUGUCCGGAUUUAUUGGGCGUAAAGCGAGCGCAGGCGGUUAGAUAAGUCUGAAGUGAAAGGCAGUGGCUCAACCAUUGUAGGCUUUGGAAACUGUUUAACCUGAGUGCAGAAGGGGAGAGUGGAAUUCCAUGUGUAGCGGUGAAAUGCGUAGAUAUAUGGAGGAACACCGGUGGCGAAAGCGGCUCUCUGGUCUGUAACUGACGCUGAGGCUCGAAAGCGUGGGGAGCGAACAGGAUUAGAUACCCUGGUAGUCCACGCCGUAAACGAUGAGUGCUAGGUGUUAGGUCCUUUCCGGGACUUAGUGCCGCAGCUAACGCAUUAAGCACUCCGUCUGGGGAGUACGACCGCAAGGUU
This 549-nucleotide ribosomal RNA is filed under the name uncultured bacterium. Its description in RNAcentral is "bacterial SSU rRNA". It matches the Rfam family "Bacterial small subunit ribosomal RNA", at positions 355 to 895 of the family's 1533-position model. The record is from RNAcentral.